This 433-nucleotide ribosomal RNA is filed under the name uncultured bacterium. RNAcentral describes it as "partial 16S ribosomal RNA". It matches the Rfam family "Bacterial small subunit ribosomal RNA", at positions 30 to 507 of the family's 1533-position model. The record is from RNAcentral.
AACGAACGCUGGCGGCAUGCCUAACACAUGCAAGUCGAACGAGACCUUCGUGUCUAGUGGCUCACGGGUUCGUAACGCGUGGUAACCUUCCCUUAUGUUCGGAAUAACUCCCCGUAAGGUGUGCUAAUACCGGUUAAUGUCUUCUGACCUAAGAUUUAUCGCCUUUGGAUGGUCCCGCGUUGGAUUAGCUUGUUGGUAGGGUAAAAGCAUACCAAGGCGACGAUCCAUAGAUGGUCUGAGAGGAUGAUCAGACACACUGGGACUGAGACACGGCACAGACGAGGACGGGAGGGAGGAGAGGGGAAUAAUGGAAAAUGGGCGAAAGCAUGAAGAAGCAAUGCGGGGAGAGUGAUGAAGGCGGGAGGGAAGUAAAGGAAAAUAAGAGGGGAAGAUAAUGACAGUAACGGGAGAAGAAGCACCGGCUAACUACGUG